RNAcentral lists this ribosomal RNA (253 nucleotides) under uncultured bacterium. Its description in RNAcentral is "partial 16S ribosomal RNA". It matches the Rfam family "Bacterial small subunit ribosomal RNA", at positions 524 to 776 of the family's 1533-position model. The record is from RNAcentral.
UACGGGGGGGGCAAGCGUUGUUCGGAAUUACUGGGCGUAAAGGGUUCGUAGGUGGCCAACUAAGUCAGACGUGAAAUCCCUCAGCUUAACUGGGGAACUGCGUCUGAGACUGGAUGGCUUGAGUGCAGGAGAGGAACGCGGAAUUCCAGGUGUAGCGGUGAAAUGCGUAGAUAUCAGGAGGAACACCGGUGGCGAAGGCGGGUCUCUGGGCCGUAACUGACGCUGAGGAGCGAAAGCGUGGGGAGCGAACAGG